RNAcentral lists this long non-coding RNA (230 nucleotides) under Carica papaya (papaya). RNAcentral describes it as "long non-coding RNA (CPAP_LNC006588)". Lineage: Eukaryota; Viridiplantae; Streptophyta; Magnoliopsida; Brassicales; Caricaceae. The record is from RNAcentral.
AUUAAGACAAGUAUAAGAUUAAGAUCUAAUAAGCAUGUCUUGUAACGGUCCUGAAAAUUUAAAAUGGAAUGUAUAUUAAAAAUAUCAAAUGCGGAAGCGAAGUCAAAAAUUCGAUUAACAUCCCUUACACUAAAACCAAAAACGUGCUCACAAUAUAAAAGAUCAAACUACCUAAAGGAAAGACUUGAAAGUAAAAGCUACGAAUAUGACUAUGGAGUCUUUAGGCGUCC